Molecule: ribosomal RNA, 392 nt
Filed under: Campylobacter coli
Lineage: Bacteria; Pseudomonadati; Campylobacterota; Epsilonproteobacteria; Campylobacterales; Campylobacteraceae
Also listed under: 1 other name
Description: partial 16S ribosomal RNA
Rfam family: Bacterial small subunit ribosomal RNA
Source: RNAcentral
UUUUAUGGAGAGUUUGAUCCUGGCUCAGAGUGAACGCUGGCGGCGUGCCUAAUACAUGCAAGUCGAACGAUGAAGCUUCUAGCUUGCUAGAAGUGGAUUAGUGGCGCACGGGUGAGUAAGGUAUAGUUAAUCUGCCCUACACAAGAGGACAACAGUUGGAAACGACUGCUAAUACUCUAUACUCCUGCUUAACACAAGUUGAGUAGGGAAAGUUUUUCGGUGUAGGAUGAGACUAUAUAGUAUCAGCUAGUUGGUAAGGUAAUGGCUUACCAAGGCUAUGACGCUUAACUGGUCUGAGAGGAUGAUCAGUCACACUGGAACUGAGACACGGUCCAGACUCCUACGGGAGGCAGCAGUAGGGAAUAUUGCGCAAUGGGGGAAACCCUGACGCA